RNAcentral lists this ribosomal RNA (120 nucleotides) under Massilia cellulosiltytica. RNAcentral's name for it is "partial 16S ribosomal RNA". It matches the Rfam family "Bacterial small subunit ribosomal RNA", at positions 1 to 116 of the family's 1533-position model. Lineage: Bacteria; Pseudomonadati; Pseudomonadota; Betaproteobacteria; Burkholderiales; Oxalobacteraceae. The record is from RNAcentral.
AGAUUAAACUGAAGAGUUUGAUCCUGGCUCAGAUUGAACGCUGGCGGCAUGCUUUACACAUGCAAGUCGAACGGCAGCGCGGGGCAACCUGGCGGCGAGUGGCGAACGGGUGAGUAAUAU